GCUUGCUCCCUGAUGUUAGCGGCGGACGGGUGAGUAACACGUGGGUAACCUGCCUGUAAGACUGGGAUAACUCCGGGAAACCGGGGCUAAUACCGGAUGCUUGUUUGAACCGCAUGGUUCAAGCAUAAAAGGUGGCUUCGGCUACCACUUACAGAUGGACCCGCGGCGCAUUAGCUAGUUGGUGAGGUAAUGGCUCACCAAGGCAACGAUGCGUAGCCGACCUGAGAGGGUGAUCGGCCACACUGGGACUGAGACACGGCCCAGACUCCUACGGGAGGCAGCAGUAGGGAAUCUUCCGCAAUGGACGAAAGUCUGACGGAGCAACGCCGCGUGAGUGAUGAAGGUUUUCGGAUCGUAGAGCUCUGUUGUUAGGGAAGAACAAGUACCGUUCGAAUAGGGCGGUACCUUGACGGUACCUAACCAGAAAGCCACGGCUAGCUACGUGCCAGC
RNAcentral lists this ribosomal RNA (450 nucleotides) under Bacillus sp. PSu5_8. RNAcentral's name for it is "bacterial SSU rRNA". It matches the Rfam family "Bacterial small subunit ribosomal RNA", at positions 78 to 512 of the family's 1533-position model. Lineage: Bacteria; Bacillati; Bacillota; Bacilli; Caryophanales; Bacillaceae. The record is from RNAcentral.